UGCAGUCGAACGAUGAUCCCAGCUUGCUGGGGGAUUAGUGGCGAACGGGUGAGUAACACGUGAGUAACCUGCCCUUGACUCUGGGAUAAGCCUGGGAAACUGGGUCUAAUACCGGAUACGACCAUCUGGCGCAUGUCAUGGUGGUGGAAAGCUUUUGUGGUUUUGGAUGGACUCGCGGCCUAUCAGCUUGUUGGUGGGGUAAUGGCCUACCAAGGCGACGACGGGUAGCCGGCCUGAGAGGGUGACCGGCCACACUGGGACUGAGACACGGCCCAGACUCCUACGGGAGGCAGCAGUGGGGAAUAUUGCACAAUGGGCGCAAGCCUGAUGCAGCGACGCCGCGUGAGGGAUGACGGCCUUCGGGUUGUAAACCUCUUUCAGUAGGGAAGAAGCGAAAGUGACGGUACCUGCAGAAGAAGCGCCGGCUAACUACGUGCCAGCAGCCGCGGUAAUACGUAGGGCGCAAGCGUUAUCCGGAAUUAUUGGGCGUAAAGAGCUCGUAGGCGGUUUGUCGCGUCUGCUGUGAAAGACCGGGGCUCAACUCCGGUUCUGCAGUGGGUACGGGCAGACUAGAGUGCAGUAGGGGAGACUGGAAUUCCUGGUGUAGCGGUGAAAUGCGCAGAUAUCAGGAGGAACACCGAUGGCGAAGGCAGGUCUCUGGGCUGUAACUGACGCUGAGGAGCGAAAGCAUGGGGAGCGAACAGGAUUAGAUACCCUGGUAGUCCAUGCCGUAAACGUUGGGCACUAGGUGUGGGGGACAUUCCACGUUUUCCGCGCCGUAGCUAACGCAUUAAGUGCCCCGCCUGGGGAGUACGGCCGCAAGGCUAAAACUCAAAGGAAUUGACGGGGGCCCGCACAAGCGGCGGAGCAUGCGGAUUAAUUCGAUGCAACGCGAAGANCUUACCAAGGCUUGACAUGACCGGAAGA
This 927-nucleotide ribosomal RNA is filed under the name Arthrobacter sp. RNAcentral describes it as "bacterial SSU rRNA". It matches the Rfam family "Bacterial small subunit ribosomal RNA", at positions 56 to 997 of the family's 1533-position model. Lineage: Bacteria; Bacillati; Actinomycetota; Actinomycetes; Micrococcales; Micrococcaceae. The record is from RNAcentral. RNAcentral also lists the same sequence under 1 other name.